GAUGGUGGGCACACCACCCCCUUCUCCAGGGAGCCACCACAGACCCUGCCCCAGUAGCAGCUGCUGGAGCCCUGGACAGCUCUGAUCCACGAGCAACUCGCCGACCUCUGCACUUCCUGGUUCCCCUACCCAGAACCCAAAGGUGUAGAGGAACAGAUCCUCCUUGACUUCAGAUAACCCAAGGGCUUUGGGGGACAUCUGGAUAAGAGACUUUGUUUAAAGAACUCCAGUGGUAUUGACAGGACACAGGUCUCAGAAAUCUGCCCCCAGGAUUGCCAAGCAAAGGACCAAAGGGACUAGUUCUAAGGAAGAGGAGAGAACCUUAGGUCAUGCAGAAGGUCGUUUAUGUCCUGCCUGGCUCAAGAAUCAGGAGGAUACAAAUGCUUAAUGGCACCACUCAAAAGAAUGCAGAGCUGAAAGCUGGGGAAUUUAAGUGCCGUUCUAAACUCUGCCGGUAGCGUGCUGUGUGACUUCUGGCAAGGCGCCCACCUCCUCUGGGCCCCAUUUCAUCUUUUGCAGGAGGAGGAGGUGAUGCUAGCUCAGCAUUCCAGCACUAUUUCUUGGUGGACAGGAGCCAGCUGUCUUGAGCCUACAGCCGCUUCCCAAGACAAAGCGCCUCGUCUCACUGUGGCCGAACGCGGGCGCACCUGCAGUACAGUCUCACUCAUCGCCCAGACGGCUUCAGCUCAAGCGGCAUGGCCGGGGCUUGUCCCCCCACCCCAGAGCCUCAAGUGCCUACAACGCGCCACCCCACNNNNNNNCUGCUCACCUGUAACAUCCCCACACUUCUCGUUCUCGGACCGCGUCUCACCUUUCUGCCCGGCAGCCCGUUCUGUAGACAUUGUGGAAUCCUGGACACCAGCGUCUAGCAUCCACCGACCCUGUGCAUCCCACCCUGGAGCUGUAUGCCUGUCCCUGUUCCCAGCAGAAUGGCUUCCUUGUAUAUUACACGGUGGCUACUGUUCUCUUAAAGGCUUUUAGCUCACAAAAACUGUUGCCGAUGUGACAAAAAUUAUACUUGAGUCUGCUCUUUUGUUCUCGAAGCUCACGCUUGGCUUUCAAACUGGGUGCAAGCGAUCUUUCCGCCUCACUUAGUGCGGUUGCUUCACUCUUGAUGUGGGUUCUCUCUUGGGUGACCAACUGUCCCCUCAGGCUGCCUGCAACUUAGGAGUUGGUGGAGGAGCUCCCAGGAUGUGGGACUUUGAGUUUCAAAACUGGGACAAUCCCAGGAAAAUCAGGACAAGUUGGUCACUGUAGUUCCCCCAGAUGCAGAGCCUGAGAUGAGGAUUCAGUGCAGAUAGUGUAUCCGUGUGCUUCCAGGAAACACCCUAGGCACGUGAAGAAUUAAAAUAAUAGCGGAGAGGACACCCAUAGAGGGAUCCUUACCAACCAGCUUAUGACUCUGGGUGUGGACCCUCUUUUGUUCUCAGAGCUCAUGCUUGGCUUUCAAACUAGGUUCAGUGACCUUUCUGCCUCACUUAGGACGGUUAUAUUUGUCUUGACCUGGGUUCUAUCUAGGAUGACCAACUGUCCCCCAGGUUGCCUGGAACUUGGGUGUGGGUUGGGGGUCCUCCCAGGAUGUGGGACUUUGAGUUUCAAACUCUCUAGGAAGGAGAGUGGAUGCCCAUCUCAGCGCUCAUAGGGAAGGAAUGGGGGCCGGCACACCAGCUCCACUCAGCCACCGCUUGAGGGUCCCUCUCAGGGGCCUUCACCCCUUGGCAUCUGUGGCCAGCCACGGGUGCACUGGCCGAGCUGACUUCUGCAGCUGGAGAAAGCCACCUGGCAAAGGGCAGGUGCCGGCAGGUCUUCAGCCGCGGUGCGCCGAGCUGAACGGAGCUGAGACGGAGCUGACCCUGAGAGGCGCUGGCAGCACCUGCUGAGGCCUCUCUGCAGCGUCGCUUUCAUCUCUGCUUUUUCUCAGUGGCCACCAGUGAUCCCACAAAAUAUGUCCCUUAGAGAGCCACCGUGCUGCCUGGGAAGCCACCCACACUGACCCCCAAGUCAGGACGCUAAGGCUCCUUCGGAAGUCCUCUAGCAGCUGGCCUCGUUUCUUCAAAAUCAGUCAUCACUUGGCAGAGUCCGGGGAGAACAGUUGAUUANNNNNNNNNNNNNNNNNNNNNNNNNNNNNNNNNNNNNNNNNNNNNNNNNNNNNNNNNNNNNNNNNNNNNNNNNNNNNNNNNNNNNNNNNNNNNNNNNNNGGGGAGAACAGUUGAUUAAAACAGGAACUCCCAAUGGGCCAGAAGCAGCAUGCCAACAGCCCCUCGUGGAAACAAUUCCAGGAGCCAAGAGGCUGAGAUUAAACGGUCAGCCGAAACACUGUUCACGGACAACCCCCAUGGGUGAUUUCUCAACCAGGUUAAUGGCUUUCACUAAGACAGGCCAGCCCUUUUCUCUGAUCACCACCACCGCUCCACGCUGCUGGGGGACAGAGUCCUUUCAGACCUCACUGACUUAACAUGAGCCAGGCACCAGCCACCUUUGUAGGAAACUUGCAGUUGCCUGCUGGGUCCUCUUCAUCCUGCAAAAGCCAGGUGUGUGUGUGAACACGCGCAUCCUGCUGGGAUGGCUGUAUGGGUCUCCUGGUCCCUCGUACAGGGAAAAACAUGCGCAGGGAAGCAGGGACUCAGGGUCUCCCCAGGAGCUCUGAAGGAGAGAAUGAAGUGAACCCUGUGGUCUCUGAGCCUCUGAAGUCCUCUGUCCCACUCCAAGGCACUGAGCUCCCUUGUGCUGUGUGCUAAGUCGCUUCAGUCAUGUCCGACUCUGCGCCCCCAUGGACCGUAGCCCGCCAGCCUCUGCUGUCCAUGGGAUUCUCCAGGCAAGAAUGCGGCAGUGGGUUGCCAUGCCCUCCUCCAGGGGAUCUUCCCACCCCCAGCACCGAAUCCACGUCUCUGAUGUCUCCUGCAUCGGCAGGAGGGGUCUUUACCACUAGUGCCACCUGGGAAACCGCAAGAUGCCACCUGAGCUCCUUUAGGCUCCAUUCUCCUGAAAUGGAGUGAAAACACCGAGUUCCAGCCUGGCUCUGCCAAGCUCUCUUGUUCU
Molecule: long non-coding RNA, 3039 nt
Filed under: Capra hircus (goat)
Lineage: Eukaryota; Metazoa; Chordata; Mammalia; Artiodactyla; Bovidae
Description: lncRNA (ENSCHIG00010012589.1)
Source: RNAcentral